Molecule: non-coding RNA, 86 nt
Filed under: bovine gut metagenome
Description: S10-Clostridia ribosomal protein leader
Rfam family: S10-Clostridia ribosomal protein leader
Source: RNAcentral
UGAUAGCGAUGAAGCGUGAGGUUGCUGAUGCCCCCGGCAUCAGGUUUUCCGUGGAGCGAAUGUCAAGUUACCAAAACUGGCGACAA